Molecule: ribosomal RNA, 484 nt
Filed under: uncultured bacterium
Lineage: Bacteria
Description: partial 16S ribosomal RNA
Rfam family: Bacterial small subunit ribosomal RNA
Source: RNAcentral
AUUGAACGCUGGCGGCAGGCCUAACACAUGCAAGUCGAGCGGAUGAAGGGAGCUUGCUCCUGGAUUCAGCGGCGGACGGGUGAGUAAUGCCUAGGAAUCUGCCUGGUAGUGGGGGAUAACGUCCGGAAACGGGCGCUAAUACCGCAUACGUCCUGAUGGAGAAAGUGGGGGAUCUUCGGACCUCACGCUAUCAUAUGAGCCUAGGUCGGAUUAGCUAGUUGGUGGGGUAAAGGCCUACCAAGGCGACGAUCCGUAACUGGUCUGAGAGGAUGAUCAGUCACACUGGAACUGAGGCACGGUCCAGACUCCUACGGGAGGCAGCAGUGGGGAAUAUUGGACAAUGGGCGAAAGCCUGAUCCAGCCAUGCCGCGUGUGUGAAGAAGGUCUUCGGAUUGUAAAGCACUUUAAGUUGGGAGGAAGGGCAGUAAGUUAAUACCUUGCUGUUUUGACGUUACCAACAGAAUAAGCACCGGCUAACUUCGUG